Molecule: long non-coding RNA, 864 nt
Organism: Thunnus maccoyii (southern bluefin tuna)
Lineage: Eukaryota; Metazoa; Chordata; Actinopteri; Scombriformes; Scombridae
Exons: 3
Source: RefSeq, a predicted model, not a curated record
GCAUGAAAGGCAACACGCCACACUCCUUAUUUAGAUCCUGGCUCCAAACGGAAGAGGUGGCGUCACACCUCGCUAUGACUAUCUUCAUAUAGGCCUACAGUCUAUGGUUUACCAGCUGAACUGUCUAUGCCAGCAGGUGGGAUGGAAGGAUGAUGAGAGAGAAAAUAAUGAUGAGAACAAGCAUGAAAAGAUGAUCACGACGGACAUGUGAUGAGGACAAGAAGGACAGGACAUGUGCUCGCUGCUGAAGCUGAGUGUCCAGUUUCAGCCAUCAUCUUUUAUUUAUUGUGAGAGUAUUAAGAGUAUUAUGGGAUAUGACUCUUGUUUAUAAUAUGAAGCAACCAAGAGUUUAAGGACCAAAAUGACAGCAUUUCAAAUUUCGUCUGAGAGUUUUGAGAGUUUUAGAAGCUUUAACUGUGGUUUAUUACCUACAUAUAUGGUAUUUUAUAGUAUUUUUGCUAAUUGUAAUAUGUUAAUGCAUCAGUUGGUAUCAGUUUGAAGCUGUCAGAUCGUUUUGGUUUGUGUGUGUGCUGGGGUAUAUUAAGUAAAACAAGUGUGUUUCCCUCUAAAAAAAACCUGCACUUAAGAAAUGUCACGCCAGCAUGUUGUAUUCUUUUCAAUUUAGUUGGUUCGUCAAAGCUCCAAAUUGGUUGUCGAUGGACUUGUGAGAUCUAGAACACCAAUUUGGAUUAACGAUCAAAGAUUUCCCUGCGUUUCCCUUAUGAUCAUCAACUUUUGUCUCAGACAAAAUGACCACAACCUCUUAACACCUCGUUACGUGGUGGUUGUACGUGUGUUAAGAGGUCGUGGUCAUUUCAUGUAUUUCUGUAAGUUAAGGCUGCAUUUGUCUGUGCUUUCCAAAAC